Molecule: ribosomal RNA, 512 nt
Filed under: uncultured bacterium
Lineage: Bacteria
Description: bacterial SSU rRNA
Rfam family: Bacterial small subunit ribosomal RNA
Source: RNAcentral
AAUCAACGCUGGCGGCGUGCCUAACACAUGCAAGUCGAACGCGAAAGUGGAGCAAUCCAUGAGUAGAGUGGCAAACGGGUGAGUAACACGUGGGUGACCUGCCUUCGAGUGGGGGGAUAACGUUUCGAAAGGAACGCUAAUACCGCAUAACAUGCUGUCUUUUAACAGAUGGACAUCAAAGCCGGGGACCGCAAGGCCUGGCGCUUGAAGAGGGGCCCGCGCCUGAUUAGCUAGUUGGUGGGGUAAUGGCUCACCAAGGCAACGAUCAGUAUCCGGCCUGAGAGGGCGGACGGACACACUGGGACUGAGACACGGCCCAGACUCCUACGGGAGGCAGCAGUGGGAAUGUUCGCAAUGGGCGCAAGCCUGACGACGCAACGCCGCGUGGAGGAUGAAGAUCUUCGGGUCGUAAACUCCUUUCGAUCGAGACGAAUGGCCCUUGGGCUAAUACCCUGAGGGAGUGACGGUACCGAGAGAAGAAGCCCCGGCUAACUCCGUGCCAGCAGCCGCGG